This 324-nucleotide ribosomal RNA is filed under the name uncultured bacterium. RNAcentral describes it as "bacterial SSU rRNA". It matches the Rfam family "Bacterial small subunit ribosomal RNA", at positions 28 to 334 of the family's 1533-position model. The record is from RNAcentral.
GAUGAACGCUGGCGGCGUGCUUAAUACACGCAAGUCGAGCGAAGCACUUUAACGGAAUUCUUCGGAAGGAAGGUAAAGUGACUGAGCGGCGGACGGGUGAGUAACGCGUGGGUAACCUGCCUCGGAGUGGGGAAUAACAGUUGGAAACAGCUACUAAUACCGCAUGAUGCAACGGAAUCGCAUGACUCUGUUGCCAAAGAUUUAUCGCUCUGAGAUGGCCUCGCGUCUGAUUAGCUAGUUGGCGGGGUAACGGCCCACCAAGGCGACGAUCAGUAGCCGGACUGAGAGGUUGGCCGGCCACAUUGGGACUGAGACACGGCCCAG